RNAcentral lists this ribosomal RNA (325 nucleotides) under uncultured bacterium. RNAcentral's name for it is "bacterial SSU rRNA". It matches the Rfam family "Bacterial small subunit ribosomal RNA", at positions 32 to 333 of the family's 1533-position model. The record is from RNAcentral.
AAUCAACGCUGGCGGCGUGCCUAACACAUGCAAGUCGAACGCGAAAGCGUCUUCGGACGUGAGUAGAGUGGCGUCCGGGUGAGUAACACGUAGGUAAUCUACCUUCGGGUGGGGAAUAACGCCUCGAAAGAGGCGCUAAUACCGCAUAACGCAGCGGCAGCUAAUGCUGAUUAGUUGUUAAAGCGGGGGACCGAGAGAUCGGCCUCGCGCCUGAAGAGGAGCCUGCCGGCAGAUUAGCUAGUUGGCGGGGUAACGGCCACCAAGGCGACGAUCUGUAGCUGGUCUGAGAGGACGGCCAGCCACACUGGCACUGACACACGGGCCA